GACGAACGCUGGCGGCGUGCUUAACACAUGCAAGUCGAACGGAAAGGCCCCUUUGGGGGUACUCGAGUGGCGAACGGGUGAGUAACACGUGAGUAACCUGCCCUUGACUUCGGGAUAACUUCAGGAAACUGGGGCUAAUACCGGAUAGGAAUCCUUGCUGCAUGGUGGGGGUUGGAAAGCUUCGGCGGUUUUGGAUGGACUCGCGGCUUAUCAGCUUGUUGGUGGGGUAGUGGCUUACCAAGGCUUUGACGGGUAGCCGGCCUGAGAGGGCGACCGGCCACAGUGGGACUGAGAUACGGCCCAGACUCCUACGGGAGGCAGCAGUGGGGUAUAUUGCACAAUGGGCGGAAGCCUGAUGCAGCAACGCCGCGUGCGGGAUGACGGCCUUCGGGUUGUAAACCGCUUUCAGCAGGGGCGAAGCUUGUGGUGACGGUACCUGCAGAAGAAGCACCGGCUAACUACGUG
This 465-nucleotide ribosomal RNA is filed under the name uncultured bacterium. Its description in RNAcentral is "partial 16S ribosomal RNA". It matches the Rfam family "Bacterial small subunit ribosomal RNA", at positions 28 to 507 of the family's 1533-position model. The record is from RNAcentral.